GGGUUGUGAGGUUAAGCGACUAAGCGUACACGGUGGAUGCCCUGGCAGUCAGAGGCGAUGAAGGACGUGCUAAUCUGCGAUAAGCGUCGGUAAGGUGAUAUGAACCGUUAUAACCGGCGAUUUCCGAAUGGGGAAACCCAGUGUGUUUCGACACACUAUCAUUAACUGAAUCCAUAGGUUAAUGAGGCGAACCGGGGGAACUGAAACAUCUAAGUACCCCGAGGAAAAGAAAUCAACCGAGAUUCCCCCAGUAGCGGCGAGCGAACGGGGAGCAGCCCAGAGCCUGAAUCAGUGUGUGUGUUAGUGGAAGCGUCUGGAAAGGCGCGCGAUACAGGGUGACAGCCCCGUACACAAAAAUGCACAUGCUGUGAGCUCGAUGAGUAGGGCGGGACACGUGGUAUCCUGUCUGAAUAUGGGGGGACCAUCCUCCAAGGCUAAAUACUCCUGACUGACCGAUAGUGAACCAGUACCGUGAGGGAAAGGCGAAAAGAACCCCGGCGAGGGGAGUGAAAAAGAACCUGAAACCGUGUACGUACAAGCAGUGGGAGCACGCUUAGGCGUGUGACUGCGUACCUUUUGUAUAAUGGGUCAGCGACUUAUAUUCUGUAGCAAGGUUAACCGAAUAGGGGAGCCGAAGGGAAACCGAGUCUUAACUGGGCGUUAAGUUGCAGGGUAUAGACCCGAAACCCGGUGAUCUAGCCAUGGGCAGGUUGAAGGUUGGGUAACACUAACUGGAGGACCGAACCGACUAAUGUUGAAAAAUUAGCGGAUGACUUGUGGCUGGGGGUGAAAGGCCAAUCAAACCGGGAGAUAGCUGGUUCUCCCCGAAAGCUAUUUAGGUAGCGCCUCGUGAAUUCAUCUCCGGGGGUAGAGCACUGUUUCGGCAAGGGGGUCAUCCCGACUUACCAACCCGAUGCAAACUGCGAAUACCGGAGAAUGUUAUCACGGGAGACACACGGCGGGUGCUAACGUCCGUCGUGAAGAGGGAAACAACCCAGACCGCCAGCUAAGGUCCCAAAGUCAUGGUUAAGUGGGAAACGAUGUGGGAAGGCCCAGACAGCCAGGAUGUUGGCUUAGAAGCAGCCAUCAUUUAAAGAAAGCGUAAUAGCUCACUGGUCGAGUCGGCCUGCGCGGAAGAUGUAACGGGGCUAAACCAUGCACCGAAGCUGCGGCAGCGACACUAUGUGUUGUUGGGUAGGGGAGCGUUCUGUAAGCCUGUGAAGGUGUACUGUGAGGUAUGCUGGAGGUAUCAGAAGUGCGAAUGCUGACAUAAGUAACGAUAAAGCGGGUGAAAAGCCCGCUCGCCGGAAGACCAAGGGUUCCUGUCCAACGUUAAUCGGGGCAGGGUGAGUCGACCCCUAAGGCGAGGCCGAAAGGCGUAGUCGAUGGGAAACAGGUUAAUAUUCCUGUACUUGGUGUUACUGCGAAGGGGGGACGGAGAAGGCUAUGUUGGCCGGGCGACGGUUGUCCCGGUUUAAGCGUGUAGGCUGGUUUUCCAGGCAAAUCCGGAAAAUCAAGGCUGAGGCGUGAUGACGAGGCACUACGGUGCUGAAGCAACAAAUGCCCUGCUUCCAGGAAAAGCCUCUAAGCAUCAGGUAACAUCAAAUCGUACCCCAAACCGACACAGGUGGUCAGGUAGAGAAUACCAAGGCGCUUGAGAGAACUCGGGUGAAGGAACUAGGCAAAAUGGUGCCGUAACUUCGGGAGAAGGCACGCUGAUAUGUAGGUGAAGUCCCUCGCGGAUGGAGCUGAAAUCAGUCGAAGAUACCAGCUGGCUGCAACUGUUUAUUAAAAACACAGCACUGUGCAAACACGAAAGUGGACGUAUACGGUGUGACGCCUGCCCGGUGCCGGAAGGUUAAUUGAUGGGGUUAGCCGCAAGGCGAAGCUCUUGAUCGAAGCCCCGGUAAACGGCGGCCGUAACUAUAACGGUCCUAAGGUAGCGAAAUUCCUUGUCGGGUAAGUUCCGACCUGCACGAAUGGCGUAAUGAUGGCCAGGCUGUCUCCACCCGAGACUCAGUGAAAUUGAACUCGCUGUGAAGAUGCAGUGUACCCGCGGCAAGACGGAAAGACCCCGUGAACCUUUACUAUAGCUUGACACUGAACAUUGAGCCUUGAUGUGUAGGAUAGGUGGGAGGCUUUGAAGUGUGGACGCCAGUCUGCAUGGAGCCGACCUUGAAAUACCACCCUUUAAUGUUUGAUGUUCUAACGUUGACCCGUAAUCCGGGUUGCGGACAGUGUCUGGUGGGUAGUUUGACUGGGGCGGUCUCCUCCUAAAGAGUAACGGAGGAGCACGAAGGUUGGCUAAUCCUGGUCGGACAUCAGGAGGUUAGUGCAAUGGCAUAAGCCAGCUUGACUGCGAGCGUGACGGCGCGAGCAGGUGCGAAAGCAGGUCAUAGUGAUCCGGUGGUUCUGAAUGGAAGGGCCAUCGCUCAACGGAUAAAAGGUACUCCGGGGAUAACAGGCUGAUACCGCCCAAGAGUUCAUAUCGACGGCGGUGUUUGGCACCUCGAUGUCGGCUCAUCACAUCCUGGGGCUGAAGUAGGUCCCAAGGGUAUGGCUGUUCGCCAUUUAAAGUGGUACGCGAGCUGGGUUUAGAACGUCGUGAGACAGUUCGGUCCCUAUCUGCCGUGGGCGCUGGAGAACUGAGGGGGGCUGCUCCUAGUACGAGAGGACCGGAGUGGACGCAUCACUGGUGUUCGGGUUGUCAUGCCAAUGGCACUGCCCGGUAGCUAAAUGCGGAAGAGAUAAGUGCUGAAAGCAUCUAAGCACGAAACUUGCCCCGAGAUGAGUUCUCCCUGACCCUUUAAGGGUCCUGAAGGAACGUUGAAGACGACGACGUUGAUAGGCCGGGUGUGUAAGCGCAGCGAUGCGUUGAGCUAACCGGUACUAAUGAACCGUGAGGCUUAACCUUACAACGCCGAAGGUGUUU
Molecule: ribosomal RNA, 2932 nt
Filed under: Escherichia coli
Lineage: Bacteria; Pseudomonadati; Pseudomonadota; Gammaproteobacteria; Enterobacterales; Enterobacteriaceae
Description: 23S ribosomal RNA
Rfam family: Bacterial large subunit ribosomal RNA
Source: RNAcentral